CAGCCGCCACGGGAAUACGAAGGGUGCAAGCGUUACUCGGAAUUACUGGGCGUAAAGCGUGCGUAGGUGGUGGUUUAAGUCCGUUGUGAAAGCCCUGGGCUCAACCUGGGAAUUGCAGUGGAUACUGGGUCACUAGAGUGUGGUAGAGGAUAGCGGAAUUUCCGGUGUAGCAGUGAAAUGCGUAGAGAUCGGAAGGAACAUCUGUGGCGAAGGCGACUAUCUGGGCCAACACUGACACUGAGGCACGAAAGCGUGGGGAGCAAACAGGAUUAGAUACCCCAGUAGUCCCUGUCUCUUAUAA
Molecule: ribosomal RNA, 301 nt
Filed under: uncultured bacterium
Lineage: Bacteria
Description: partial 16S ribosomal RNA
Rfam family: Bacterial small subunit ribosomal RNA
Source: RNAcentral